CGGUGGUGCGGCACCCGCGGCGGCUGAGGGGCAGCGGCGGAGCCGGAGCGCGGCCGGUGCAGAAAAAGAUUGACUUGAUCAACCUGCAAUAUGAAGUUACAAUAGGGAGGACAUUCCCAUGGUUUUAAGGCACUGGUGGUCUGCGCCUUUCUGUUUUUAUGCCAAGUUCUCCUCCUGCCCCAUAAAAGCCCAAGAGGAUGUUGAAAAAUCCCAUUUGUACCACGAACAAGGGAGGUGUUCUCCAGCAGAAAAGGACUCUUCACUGCCCAGUGGUCUGUGGAGCAAGGUUGUGUUUCUGGGCAGCACUGUGCCUCCAACCCACAGAGCAGCUUCCUCGAGACCCAUCUUCCCAGCAGGUUCCUUUCUGCAAAGGGCUGUAGGGUGUGUGCAGCCAUCUAAGCUCCUGCACUUGUUCUUCUGAAAAUGGGAGAGGUCUGAGACAACUCUGUUCCCUCACCCAUGCAGUCCUUGUUAAAUCAUCUGCACAAAAAGGCUCCGUUUGGUGGCCUUUCCAUUUUGGAAAAAGGAAAGAUGCAUUUGUAAUCCUCAUCUCAGUGGUCCAGGGAGACCUACAGACAUAAGGUUGGUCUGACUAUGAAUGCUCAAGGCACAAGCAUGCGUGAUCCAGGGAAAGCCACACACACCCCUGGCCAACACAUCUCUGUGCUAAGCAGGUGGCAACACUGCAUUACUGCUGAUUGGAAACCCCAGCCACUGCUUCUGCAUAAAGUACUGCUGACAGAGAAGUGAAGACCAUUGCUGUUGAGCACUGUAAUGCAGGACCAAACACAGGACAAGGCAGUGAAAGCUGUUGUGA
This is a long non-coding RNA of Pezoporus flaviventris, 817 nucleotides long. RefSeq lists it as uncharacterized. The transcript is spliced from 4 exons. NCBI's taxonomy places the organism in Eukaryota, Metazoa, Chordata, Aves, Psittaciformes, Psittacidae. The record is from RefSeq and is a predicted model, not a curated record.